GGGGAGGUAGCGAAGAGGCUAAACGCGACGGACUGUAAAUCCGUUCCUUAGGGUUCAGUGGUUCGAAUCCACUUCUCCCCACCA
RNAcentral lists this transfer RNA (84 nucleotides) under Gemelliphila palaticanis. RNAcentral's name for it is "tRNA-Tyr". It matches the Rfam family "tRNA". Rfam says of the family: Transfer RNA (tRNA) molecules are approximately 80 nucleotides in length. Their secondary structure includes four short double-helical elements and three loops (D, anti-codon, and T loops). Further hydrogen bonds mediate the characteristic L-shaped molecular structure. tRNAs have two regions of fundamental functional importance: the anti-codon, which is responsible for specific mRNA codon recognition, and the 3' end, to which the tRNAs corresponding amino acid is attached (by aminoacyl-tRNA synthetases). tRNAs cope with the degeneracy of the genetic code in two manners: having more than one tRNA (with a specific anti-codon) for a particular amino acid; and 'wobble' base-pairing, i.e. permitting non-standard base-pairing at the 3rd anti-codon position. The record is from RNAcentral. Lineage: Bacteria; Bacillati; Bacillota; Bacilli; Caryophanales; Gemellaceae.